AAAUUGAAGGGUUUGAUCAUGGCUCAGAUUGAACGCUGGCGGCAGGCCUAACACAUGCAAGUCGAACGGUAACAGGAAUCAGCUUGCUGAUUCGCUGACGAGUGGCGGACGGGUGAGUAAUGUCUGGGAAACUGCCUGAUGGAGGGGGAUAACUACUGGAAACGGUAGCUAAUACCGCAUAACGUCGCAAGACCAAAGAGGGGGACCUUCGGGCCUCUUGCCAUC
RNAcentral lists this ribosomal RNA (225 nucleotides) under Escherichia coli. Its description in RNAcentral is "partial 16S ribosomal RNA". It matches the Rfam family "Bacterial small subunit ribosomal RNA", at positions 1 to 222 of the family's 1533-position model. Lineage: Bacteria; Pseudomonadati; Pseudomonadota; Gammaproteobacteria; Enterobacterales; Enterobacteriaceae. The record is from RNAcentral.